CAUGAGCCAAAGCCCACUGAGUCUCUCAGCAAGGCUGCUUUCGGCCUCAGUAGGCUGUGGCUUAAGCUCUGUAUGAAUGACAGUUCCUUUUCAGGAAUUACGAAAAAAAAAAAAAAGAACUUAUGACUUUUAGUUUCUGACUUCAUUUUGCCAAAGUGUUUUACCUAUGUUUUUUCUGUUUGAACCACCAUUGCCUGAUUUGGCUCUUCCCUCCUCUGAAAGGGGUGUUAGGUUUGAUGGUAAGGUGGAUAAUUUGCCAUGAAAAUGUCAGGGGUAAGCAGCAAUCUCAGAGCUCAGUGGCUGAAUUGCUCAGUACCCACUGUCCACUUUUACUCACUUUUCAUUUCUGAGCAUGUGUUAUUUUGAAGUACCUCAAAUAUUCUCAGACUCCAAGCUUUUUUGUACGUGAGCAUGUCAUUUCCCUUCCUUCUGCUGCAAUCACAAUUGGAUCCUGCAGGCACUUCCCAUAACAGGCCUCAGUUAUCAAUGGCAGGAGUUUCAAUGUAUUUCCCUUCGCAAAGGCUUUUGUUGCCAGAUGAAAGUUGUUACUUGUUUAUACCAGGCUGUGAGUAAUGCCCUUUUGCUAGCAUUGUACACAAUGUUUUUGGGUUUUUCGACAUUUAUCCCACCUGUUGUUAGACAAGGUUAGCUUUGCGAAUUGCAAAGAACAAUCUUUUCCCCUCAGGUGUCACUUUUUUCUGCAUUUUGCUCCUUUUUUUUGAGAUUCUUCUCCAAUCUGAAAGGUAAAAAGAAUAGACAAAAAUAUAAAAAUUAACAAGCUUAGAGGUCUUUUUCAGUCUACUACUUACUGCCAUGAAUAAAUGUUAAACAUAGAUUUGUGUGUCAACUUUCAGGCUUCUCAGAUGCCAUUUCUUUUGAGUCUCCUUUAGAUAUGUUGCAGCACACUGCUUUCAUGCUAUUUGCCUUGAUUUUGUGGAAUGCAACCCAAAUUGUACCAGUGCCAGCAUUUCUGUUAAAUGGUAGGAUGAGCCCUUUCUCUGCAGACCUCACUCCAUCAUAGUUCAUAAAAUAAGACCUUAUCUUGUGGGUCAUUGAACAUGUCCUAUGAGAAGAACAUUUAAACCAUGUUUAUUUUGAAUAUUGACUUUAAGUAUUUGGUCCAUCACUCUGAAGUCAUAACAUGAUAAUAAAAACUGUCCAUGAAAACUUUAGCAUCUUUUUCAUUCUUUUUAAUUUCACAGAUAUCCUUCCAUCUGCUUGCUUCCCAACUUUUCUCUGUGUUUUUAUUCAAAAAAACAGAGUUGGCUUUACCAUGGCUGUAUAGACUGUAAGGCACUAUACUAAUUGCUGUAAUGGUGUCAAAACUGUGGAGACACCUUCAGAGCCAAAUUACCAUUCUUGUGCUGCAUUUCUACAUGGAAGAUGCUCAUGCCUACCAGACUAUUUCCUUUUGUUGCUUCUUGUACAUAUAUAAAAAUCAGCUCCAGCUGCCCACUGUGGAGAAGUGUUUCAGUUUCACAUGGUCCCUAUGGAUCAAGAUCCCUGUAGACCUGCUAAGAAGAUGGGUGUUUUUGAUCUUCCAUGCUAGCCAACGUAAAACUGUCUAUCUUGUAAAUUUAUGGUCCUGUACAUCUUUCCCACCAUUCACUGUUUCAGUGAAUUAGAACCUCCCUGGAAUGUUCUUUCUUACUUCAGUUAUUUUCCACAAACCUCUUUAAAAUAACACUUAAUCUUGAAUCCUGAAUAUAUAGGUAACAUCUGCACUGUGCAUUCUGCAGUGACAGUUAUUUUAGGUGAAACUUGCCAUGAGUUCUGAUCAGAUUCUAAUUUUAUAGUUGUUCUUUUGUCUUUAGCCACUUCUUUGAAGUUUCCCCGUCUUAGGACUGUGGUAGGGUUUGUGAGAACAUUCAAAGAAACAGAUAACUAUAGUUAAGACUCUGCCUUCUCUCUAGAACUAAUUCAGCCAAGGAGAAAAAUAAAGGAAAAAAUAUGCCCUCAGGCACGCUUUCCCUUAUGCAUAUAGUCAUGUCCCAUGGAAAUGUUUAUCUGUAAAUUAGCAUCUUGGUUUAGUCUUGCCUCUCAAGGUUAUCUUGUUGCAGGGUAUAGCAUGCACUUCAUAAGUGAAAAACAAGUUUAAUCACUGGAAUUCUGUUAUUUUCAGCUGCAAUAAGAUGCAAGAUCAAGGUAACAAUUCUUUUGCCAGCUGGAGCUGCAGGGUAACAGGCUGCUGCUGGUUUUCCCUGUAGACAACAGCAAAGAACACAUUUUGUGUCAAAGUAAUUGCACUAGCAGGUGCCGUUGAACAACUGUGUUUUGGUUGCGACAUUAUUGUGGCUCAUUGCUUACCACAAAUGUUUAUGUAUAAAAAAAUUCAGUUCUGCUUUUAAAUUCCUAUUCAAGGAAGAAUAGGGUAGACAAUGGUGAAGCAAUAAUUACAGUUUAAAAGGGAGCAAGCCUCCUUCCCAUUUCUGGUGGGUGAAUACCACUGUUCUGUCUCAAGUCCUUCCUCAGGUGUUAUCACAGCCACCAUAAACCAGCACAGAGUGCUGGCAGCAUUAAGAGCUGUAAGAACAGGAAGAGAUUGUUGCAGUGGGAUACAUGCUGAUAUGAUUAGGUCACAUGUUUAGAGAACAAUGUAAUUUCAUGCACCACCAUACUCUCCUUGCUGAGGGCUCCAUGUGCAGUGGACUCUUCUUGCCUGCCUUCCUCACAGGCUCCACCGCAGGACUUGGCAGCUCCUGCUGCAGGAGGAGCAGAUGGUGAGAGGUGCAGCAAAGGGAGGGCUGGCAGCACAGCACCUGGGAGCCCAUAGCAUUUAGGGUGUACAGAAACAGUGAUAAGCUUGGUGUAAGUUCCUCCUAGUCUUGUGAAUCCAUGUAAGUUUACUUGCUGAAACCAUUACUUGCUCAUGCCAGGCCCAAGGCAAUGUUUAAUUUGAGCUUUUUGGGGCUGUGGACAGCUGCAGGGAAGGGUAUUUCAAAGAAAUGCAUGAGCUGAAAUACCCCAUGUCUGAGCUGAAAACCUCGUAUGAGAUGCCCUGAGGGCAUGUUAACAGGUUGCAGGUUAUCAGUACACUGAUGGGAUAGGACAGAUAUAAGGUCUCCUAAAGAUGAAUUCCCCAGCCUGAAAUUUAACAAUCUAAAACUGGGACCUGUGUCUUUAGUGUCCCCAUAAAACCCAUACGCACCUCAUACUGCUUAACCUAGAUAUCUACAUCAAAAUUAGUGUGUAUCUCUUUUUGGAAACCAAACAUUUAUGCUUGCAUCCUGUCAAAUGCGUGCAUAUGUAAAGACAUCAGCUCCUCACAACACACUGAGAACAGUCUGGGGGCAGAGCAGAAAUCCAACAGUGUUGUGCUUUUUUUUGUCCAGCACCUCCACCUCUCUCCAGCCCUCCCUUUAUCAGGGCUAUGAAGCAUCUCCAUGUCCUUGGCUAUUCCACUCCCAACCCCUUUGUUUUCAUGCUUGUGAGAAUGAAAAAUACUGUCAUGUAUUUCAGUUUGGGUGGUAUUCAUAUUUUGUUUUGCUAAGGAAACAUCCCUGAGCUCUUGCUAACAUCUUUAUAUGCAUGACUGUGGGGGAGUUCCCUUGCUCUUGUCUGUUUGGCAUCUCUGCUGCCCUUAGAGCACUCUAGUUUGGUGUGGUUGCCAUAGUCUGGUACUCUUCAGAGCACAGUCUCUUUAUCAAAUCGUUUUCUUACACAAUGUCCACGAUACAGGUAUCAAAACCAUUUGUAUUUUUAUUUCUUUUUCUUCCUUUUUUGUUUUCCUCCCUUUAAACAGCUCAGUGAAACCCCCAAAGCUGUCACGUGUUUCAACUGAAUAGCCACAACACUGUGGUGCUGUGCAAUACUUUCCCUUUCCUCUCUCCCUACCCCAGAUGUCACAUGCCCUCACUGACUCACCUAGAAUGUGGUUGGAGACUCCUGGCAUAGACUGACUUUGAUCUACUGAUGGGAAACAUCUACUGAUGAGAACCACAUUCCACCAGAACAAAACUACUGCAUCCAAAGGGACAUUGCUUAUCUGCUCAUGCCAGUGUUUCUGACAGAAGACAUGGCUGACCAGUAAACUUGGGUGCUUUUGGAAGGGAUUUCCUCUUUUGGGCUCUCUGAAUGAUUUUGAGGCAACAUCAGGCUAAGAACACCUCUGCUCUCUGACACAAUUUUAUUUGGUCAUUUAUGGGGCACUUGAUUGAUCUUAAGAUAUUCAUUUUUGUAAAUAAUAUGGCUAAAGUGGACAAAGCAUGGUAUUGGUUCCUUUUCUAGUUCUUAUGACUGCUCUUGCUUUCAGUUUUGUAGAGGAAAUCUAAUGCUUCAGACUGGGCUAUUCUACUGAAGUUCUAAAAACUGCCUUCUCCCACUGUCAACAAGCAUAAGCUUGGGACCUGCUCUUGGGUGCCAUUCUCAGGGCUGCGAAUUUGCCCUGGGCACAGCAGUGAGGAAAUCUCAGCUUGCAGUAUGUGCAUCUCCCCUCAUCAAACUGAAAGCCAAGACAGUUCACUAGACAUUAAAAAAUCUGGAUUUUCUGAACUUUUGCAAGACAUUGAAACUUGAGGCAUGGAGUGACUAAUAAAACUGGAUCAGAAGAAAAUGUAUAAAUUUUGUCAUCUAACAGAAAAUUUCAUGAAAAGGAUCUGAGGGAUUAUCUGAAUGUGAAGUUUAAGCUUAAAUAUGUGGAUUGUGAGACUAUGAAAGUAAAACAAAACCAACCAAACACACACAAAAAAGUGGGAUCAUUCACUUGGAGUGGAAUAAGCUGUUUCAGUUCCUUAUGGCAUUUCCCCAUACCAAGAGGGUUUGUUCUCUGCAGCAGUGGGGCAGCAGCUGCCAUCUCACUGCAGAGCACAACAGAUGGUGAAGAGGAAAACUCUGCUCUGCUUUUGGUGAGUUUCUGGUCUUUCUUCUUUCUGCUGUUUACAUGGCAUGGGAGAUAAAACAGCCCAAUGUAGGGGCAGCAUUUCUAUCUACCAUUUUGUUAAGCAAAAUACCCACAAGAUUAUAAUUUGUCUGUUUUGUUAAAAACAGGUGAAGAACAAGAGGUAAUUAAUUUUGGUGAAGUCAAAGGGGAACUGUAACUUCCUGCAGCAGGAAACCACCAUCUACUGAAAGAAGGGUGCAGGGUAACUUCUAACCUGGAACAGCGACUACAGAUGCUCAGAAGAAGCAGGAGGUUGAGGAGGACAGGAGCAAAGCUGAUCUAAGAUUUCCCUGUUCUCAUUCCUUUCCGCUUUAAUUCCUCCUCUCUGUAACCAGUAAUUUUCUCUUCUUUUAGAUUGGUGUAAUACCCACACUUCUAUGCAGGUAUCUUUCUAAAUGAAUUAUUUUAGCCCAGUUUUAAAGAUGGAACUGAACUAAUAAUCCACAAUCCAUGAUUUCAGGUUACUUAGGGGGGAAAAGAGUUAUCUCCAGAGUGUGUGGGUUGGCUGUGCUGCCCCUGGGGACAUCCCCUGUGUGCUGUGAUCUGCCCAUCUGCAGGGCUCUGCAGCGUCGCUGGGAGAGGGGCAGUUGUGCUCUGUCUGUCCUUGGAUGAACGCUCCGUCUCCUUGGUGACAGCUGGGCUUGUUGUCUCCUUGGCUCUCAAAUCCUGACAAGGCAGGUGCUGGUGGUAAAAGGGAAAAGAAGGGGAGGAAUGGUUUACCCAAAAGAAGGUAGCUAAUGUAACUGCACAAAGUCAUCUUCUGCACACUUUCAUAAUGAACAUUCACCAUUCCCUCUUGGAAGUACUUCUUAUCCCACCCUGAGGAGAAAUACUUAUUUCUCUUUGCCCUGGACCAGCACAUGAAGAAGUUACUUUUGCAGCUCCUUCCAAAAUUUCCUUGGAUGAAACAGGACUUGACACUUAACUCAGGAGUGGGUCAUCACUUUUUAGACCCGUUCUUUGACAUAAAAUACUUUUUUCAAGUCAGAAGAUAUUUUCUGGCCAACAUGCAGUCUGGAGUAAUAAUAAAUGGAUAGCUCCAACA
Molecule: non-coding RNA, 5924 nt
Organism: Cyanistes caeruleus (blue tit)
Lineage: Eukaryota; Metazoa; Chordata; Aves; Passeriformes; Paridae
Source: RefSeq, a predicted model, not a curated record